CAAUUUGCAAAGCAGCAGCUGCCAAAUGCUAAGUGGGGGUACUGAGGAUUCAGUCGUUCACUCACCCAACGGAUGCCGUUUGUCUUGAGGCGCUGACUGCGAGAAGAGAUAGUAGUAGCUCCUUGUCUGGAAUGGAAUUUCCGUCUCGAUCACCGGGUAUGCGGCUUUGGCUUGUCUUGUCAAUUUGUAGCCGAGGAGGGACCGGGAGAUCGCUUGUUGCUGAUUCUGAGAUAAGUUCACCGCUUUAGUUUUUUCCCUCGUGCCAUUAUUUAUAAUGGUCACCUCUUAGCGUGUAGAGAGCAUGGUGAAGAACAAGACGGGGAGAAGACCACUUUGGAUCCAUUUGACAAAGGCUCGCAGUUAUUAAAUGACUAAGAGGAAGAAGCAAAGCUGGGAACAGCUUGACCCUUCGAAAACCACCCACUUUUAAAGGUAAAAUGAAAGAGAACAGGAAAUUGGAGGUGGGAGCGUAUCGUAUCCAGAGAAAAAAGAGGCUUGCGCAUCGACACGACGGCUGGGGACGACAAUAUUAUUAAACAGGACGAAAGAAACAGGGCCAGUAGCAGUGGCACAGGGCAGCAGUGUUGUUGGGCCUCCUCCUCCUCUCUGCAAAGCGAGAGGGGCCCCUUCUUCUCGGCUGAACCGCAGGACGAGAGAGGGAGAAAGAAAAACAAAGGAAAGCAAGGGUCGGGAGGGAAGCAAACAAAAUCGAAGCCGGAAUAAAGGGAAAUAUGCUACGGUGAAUAGUUUUUGGAGACACAGAGGCGGAGAUAAGAAAGAGAAGAGAAAAAUGGAAGGAAAGUAAGGCACAGGGGCCAUGCAGGACUGCCGACUGAGAGGAAAAGCCUUGGGAAGGGAGAGCGCGAGAGAAGUAAGAAGGGAUGUGGGGCGCCUCUCCUUGUGCCAGGACGCGCAUCGUAUCCUAUCAAUCACUUUGAAUCUGGAAAGGCAGGAAAUCUCCUCCUUCCAAGUUUCUACACAACACCACCGCCAUCACUUGGGCAAUCUUCGAUCGCCCUCUGUCGGCACAAAAGUUCUAAAGCUCCAUUUCCUAUGGUCUACUUACGUCAAGAACAAGAAUCAAUCACUAGAUAGUCCCAUGAUAUCUUGUUUAUAUGAUCAUUCAAAUACUUGUUUUAUAGGCAA
Molecule: long non-coding RNA, 1146 nt
Organism: Selaginella moellendorffii
Lineage: Eukaryota; Viridiplantae; Streptophyta; Lycopodiopsida; Selaginellales; Selaginellaceae
Exons: 4
Source: RefSeq, a predicted model, not a curated record